UGAUGUAUAAUUUGCAUGUUAUGUACCUGGUAAUAUGGAGAAAUGAGCUAGUAAAUAUAUCCUUGCCUAUAAUUAGUUGCUGAUUAAAUGUUCAAAGAUACACAGUGUGAAGCAUGAAAAACAAAUGGAAGAUACCCACUGCAAGAAAUUUUCAACAAAUAUAUAUGGAUUUGUUCACUUCAUUUCUUACUUUCGACACAAGUAAUUAUGGUAAUUAUAAUUACAAACAGAAUGUACUGUCAUUUAAAUACUUUAUAUGUGCUCCAUCUAUAUAUGUUAAUGUAAUAUAAUAUAAAAAAUAAUGUGUUUAUUGUUAAAAUAUGGGAUAUAUAAUACCGUAAACCUCUGACUAUAAGCCCUGGGCUUAUAUUCUUUUGUAAGUGAUUUUUGAUGGGCUUAGGGGGGGGGGGCUUAUAUGCACAGGGGCCUUAUACAUGGACGAUCAAUUGUGUUAGUAAUAAACAAGUCAGUCAUAAACAGGAAAAUAAACAUGUAUUAAUAACACACUCCAUUAACAUAGUAAGCUAUAAAGACAAUGACAUGAGUGUUUCAAAUAUCGUUCUCUGUUAUAUUAAAAGACAAUGUCAAUGUUAAAUAACAUAGUGGGAUACUGGGCUUAUAUUCAGGGGGCUUAUAUUCAGGGGGCUUAUAUUCAGGGGACUUAUAUUCAGGGGAGCUUAUAUUGGGGGGGGGGGGCUUAUAUUUGGAAUGAGGUGAGUAUUAUAUUCAGAGGUUUACAGUAUACAGUUCAAAAAAGCUUGUAUUUUCUUGUCACAGACACAGAUUUCUGGGUGCAUAUAGAACAGCUUAUACGUCAGGUUCUCAUGUGGAUCCAAUGGUAAUUUGAUAUCGCUGCAUCACCAUAAUAUAGUGUAGCACAGAAUGGCCUUGUAUCAUACUUUAACAUCAUGCAUGCGCCUUGGUCAUUCAUGUGGAGAUAUUACUAUCACGAUAGAAUUAGUUACGCCAAGUAACACGUCGUACACGUCAGGUAGCAGCUGAAAUAUUUUAAUAUUUGCCAUAAUAAGCCCAUAACCUGUUGGAAAACAACCAAAACAUCUUCACCAUUUUACAUUAUGUCCGAGAUACAUUUGAAUGUCUCGUCUUUUAACGAAUAUUCAAGCCCUCUUUUCGCUAGAACAACUUUCAUAGCUCUUUCAGUAUUUGCCAUUGAAUAUAAUUUAAUAGUAGUACGAUUUAAAGCACCUUUAAACGUAUAAAAACCCAUUUUGUAUACUAUAUUCUGAUGAGAAUCUUUGUUUAAAACAAUAUGAUUGUGAACGUGUGCCCGCGCGAAUUUAGUAAGCGGAAUAAACAAAAGCAAUAAAAGCGCAUGCGCCAUUUAUCUCAUUUUGGAUAAAAAAAUUCGAUUUCCCCAGAGUCAUGCCACAA
Paramuricea clavata is the source of this 1392-nucleotide non-coding RNA. Lineage: Eukaryota; Metazoa; Cnidaria; Anthozoa; Malacalcyonacea; Plexauridae. The record is from the annotation of a GenBank genome assembly.